Triticum urartu is the source of this 1134-nucleotide non-coding RNA. Lineage: Eukaryota; Viridiplantae; Streptophyta; Magnoliopsida; Poales; Poaceae. The record is from RefSeq and is a predicted model, not a curated record.
AUAAUCUCAAACUUGUUCCUCUUAACUUCAGUAGAAGAAUUUCUGGGAAUAGAUAAAUGUGUGUAUGCAAAGUGUUGUGUGAUGGGAUGUGGCCUGUGGCUGGGUUAAUUAGCUAGAGAUCUCAAUUAGCUAUGCCGGGGCAGAUCCUUUGUGUCUGUACAGUUUAGGCCAAGAAGAGAAGCAAACGUGCUACUCAUCAUUGCCAUCAUCCAUCUCUACUCAAAUUAUGUUCAUCUUUUUCAGUUCAUCUUUGAAAUUUCGGUCCAUUUUCUGUUGGCAGGAUGCGUAAAAAAAGUCGAAGGCAGCAACUCAAAAAUAGAUGAAUAUUGGAAGGAAGAUGUAUAAGGCUGAGAGGAAAUAUCAUCUUGAGUUCAACAUUUGGUGUUUCUUCAGGUCACUUUAGUGUGCAUUUUCAGUACAUCUUCCAGCAGUUCAGUGUGUAUUUUAAGAAGAAAAACCAACAAUGGCAGCUGCACUGGAGCCGCAGGACUACUAUUGCUGAUAGGUUUGUGAACUAAUAAACAUUCUUUUUAUGUUCCCGUGAUGUUUCAUAUUUUUGUGAACUGGUAGUUGAUGCUCUUUGUGGACUGAUAGCUGAUACUUUUUGUUAACCGAUAAACUGAAUAAAUGAGAUGGAUGUAUUAUGAGGCUGCGAAAAUGAUGUAAAAAUAUGUGCAGUUCAGCGGAUGAGUAUUAUGCAUGUCCUUCUAAUCUGAAGGUAGUGGCACCACUAAGAAAAACAAAAUAAUCAGUUUUUUGUAGCCACGGAAUGGGCAUUUGGCUCAGUAAUCUUCCAUUGCUAGAGCACUCAAGCCGUUCACCCUUGCCACCACAAGCCGUUCACCUCCGCCACACGAGGCCGUGCGACGAUGCAAUAUCAGAACGUUCACCUCUGCCACAGGAGGCCGAUGCAACGCUAAGAAUGUUUUGUUCUUUUUCAGUACAUGUUUUGUGUGCUUUUUAGUACACCUACUUAACGAUUCUAUGUCCAAUUUCCCCUGUUUAAGUGUUCUUCCUAUAGCACAACAUGAGUUGUGUGUUAUGCCUUAAUAAGCAUUUGAGAAAACCUUGUAUGGAUCGAAACUAGCAUAUGUUAUGUUCUAUUCUUGUAAAUGAAGCUCCACUUUUGUUUUG